This 120-nucleotide ribosomal RNA is filed under the name Diaphorina citri (Asian citrus psyllid). The record is from RNAcentral. Lineage: Eukaryota; Metazoa; Arthropoda; Insecta; Hemiptera; Psyllidae.
UAUAGUGGUGAUAGUACUUUGAACGCACCCAUCCUCGAUCAAUCACUGAAGUUAAGCGACGUUGCGCGAGGUUAGUAUCCGGAUGGGUGACCACUGUAACCAGCUGAGCAAUCGCUGCUA